GACGAACGCUGGCGGCGUGCUUAACACAUGCAAGUCGAACGCUGAAGCUCAGCUUUUGUGGGGUGGAUGAGUGGCGAACGGGUGAGUAACACGUGAGUAACCUGCCUCCUUCUUUGGGAUAACGCCCGGAAACGGGUGCUAAUACUGGAUAUUCACUGGUCUUCGCAUGGGGGCUGGUGGAAAGGGUUUUUCUGGUGGGGGAUGGGCUCGCGGCCUAUCAGCUUGUUGGUGGGGUGAUGGCCUACCAAGGCUUUGACGGGUAGCCGGCCUGAGAGGGUGACCGGGCACAUUGGGACUGAGAUACGGCCCAGACUCCUACGGGAGGCAGCAGUGGGGACUAUUGCCCAAUGGGCGAACGCCUGAUGCAGCGUCGCCGCGUGAGGGAUGGGGGCCUUCGGGUUGUGAACCUCUUUCGCUCAUGGUCAAGCCGCAACAAUGGUUGUGGUGAGGGUAGUGGGUAAAGAAGCGCCGGCUAACUACGUG
This 483-nucleotide ribosomal RNA is filed under the name uncultured bacterium. Its description in RNAcentral is "partial 16S ribosomal RNA". It matches the Rfam family "Bacterial small subunit ribosomal RNA", at positions 28 to 507 of the family's 1533-position model. The record is from RNAcentral.